GCCAACAAAUAAGUGACAGAAAUUACUUGAUUGAUGUGUACGCAUCUCAGUCAGUGCUGAGCUUGGUCAGUACCUGGAUGGGAGACCUCCUGGGAAAACUAGGUUGCUGUUGGAA
This 115-nucleotide ribosomal RNA is filed under the name Sinocyclocheilus anshuiensis. The record is from RNAcentral. Lineage: Eukaryota; Metazoa; Chordata; Actinopteri; Cypriniformes; Cyprinidae.